This 1086-nucleotide ribosomal RNA is filed under the name uncultured cyanobacterium. Its description in RNAcentral is "bacterial SSU rRNA". It matches the Rfam family "Bacterial small subunit ribosomal RNA", at positions 268 to 1374 of the family's 1533-position model. The record is from RNAcentral. Lineage: Bacteria; Bacillati; Cyanobacteriota.
CAAGGACGGUGAUCAGUAGUUGUUCGGAGAGGAUGAUCAGUCACAGUGGGACUGAGACUCGUCCAGAUUCCUACGGAGGCAGCAGUGGGAAGUUUCUGCAAUGGGCGCAAGCCUGACGGAGCAACGGCCGCGUGAGGGACGACGCCUCUGGGCUGUAAACCUCUUUAUCAAGGAAGAAGAUCUGACGGUACGUGAUGAAUAAGCCACGGCUAAUUCCGUGCCAGCAGCCGCGGUAAUACGGGAGUGGCAAGCGUUAUCCGGAAUUAUUGGGCGUAAAGCGUCCGCAGGCGGCCUUGCAAGUCUGCUGUCAAAGAGUGGAGCUUAACUCCAUAAAGGCAGUGGAAACUGUGAGGCUUGAGUGUGGUAGGGGCAGAGGGAAUUCCCGGUGUAGCGGUGAAAUGCGUAGAUAUCGGGAAGAACACCAGUGGCGAAGGCGCUCUGCUGGGCCAUAACUGACGCUCAUGGACGAAAGCCAGGGGAGCGAAAGGGAUUAGAUACCCCUGUAGUCCUGGCCGUAAACGAUGAACACUAGGUGUCGGGGGAAUCGACCCCCUCGGUGUCGUAGCCAACGCGUUAAGUGUUCCGCCUGGGGAGUACGCACGCAAGUGUGAAACUCAAAGGAAUUGACGGGGGCCCGCACAAGCGGUGGAGUAUGUGGUUUAAUUCGAUGCAACGCGAAGAACCUUACCAGGGUUUGACAUCCUGCGAACCCCUGAGAGAUCGGGGGGUGCCUUCGGGAGCGCAGAGACAGGUGGUGCAUGGCUGUCGUCAGCUCGUGUCGUGAGAUGUUGGGUUAAGUCCCGCAACGAGCGCAACCCACGUCUUUAGUUGCCAGCAUUAAGUUGGGCACUCUAGAGAGACCGCCGGUGAUAAACCGGAGGAAGGUGUGGAUGACGUCAAGUCAUCAUGCCCCUUACAUCCUGGGCUACACACGUACUACAAUGCUACGGACAGAGGGCAGCAAACUCGCGAGAGCUAGCAAAUCCCAUAAACCGUGGCUCAGUUCAGAUCGUAGGCUGCAACUCGCCUACGUGAAGGAGGAAUCGCUAGUAAUCGCAGGUCAGCAUACUGCGGUGAAUACGUUCC